CAGUGUAUACACAACGUACAACAGGAUAUCUUAAAAAGAUGGCAUCCGCCGCUCCUUGUACUCUGUUAAUUUUAGACAAAAACUGAAGACAAAAACCUCAAAAAACCCAAAUGCUUGAAAAAUCGGAAAAAUACUAAGAUCACCUUAAUAAAAUAGUGAUUUUACCAACAAAAUGUACAAAAAGUGUUAAUCAGAACAAAAAAGAAAGAAAUUUAAAAAAAUUGUUUAAUUAACUGAAAUUGUUCUCAAUCAUAAAAAAGGUUCGAAAGUGGACCCACGCUCGCCAGAUUUGAGUAACUUCAAAAACGUACUUCAAUAAAAGACUAAAAAAACCUCUUUUUCAUUCUUAUUAACACUUCUAUGAAAAAAAUGACUUACUUGAAAAGAGUAGUUUGAGUAUAGAUACGUUUAUUCACGCACAGAGUUACUUUAUAACAGCCAGGGUUUUACUAGUUUACAAGGUAUUUAUAUGAUUGCAACCAGACAGCGGAAGGUAUUGCGAAUAAUAUUUUGGCAACAAUAUUUUGCGUAAGGCUGGGUAGUUUGCGUAUACAGUAGAUGCGUCAUGUUAAAGGUUGGAUUUGAAAGAUAGAAGAUUUGUGAAAAUAUUGACACACAUGCAUAACUAGAAUGACUUCUACACGAGACGAAUCCUUUCUCAUUUAAAUGUACAUGGUACAGCCCUUUAUGUCCAAUGUUAAGGAGACUUUCACUCAUGCAUGCCAAGUCCAUUAGCGCCUGAUCCAAUCAGGGUUCAGUCAUGUGUUUGGUGUCUAUUCUGAACCAAUAAAAAAGUAUGGUGGUAACAUCUAUCUUUCUAUCUAUCUCAAUUUCCAAUUAGUGAAUCCUUCAUUCGGUGCUAUCAGCAAAUGGAAAUAUUAUUUUCUGUGUACAAUUUCCCUUUAUAUUUUGUGUAUAAAAUGUCUCCGACGAUCAAGUACAUUGUGGUUCACCCUGUAUUAUCCCGUAAACAUGUUUUCCUUUGAUUAUUGUAAAAGAGGGGAUACAUGUAUGUACUGUAGGAGUGAAUGUGGAGGAUAUGAAAGUGAUGAGAGCAGUUCAAAUCUUCAACCAAGACCCUUCUAUCAACCUUAUAAUAAUCAAUUUUAACUCAGAGAAGAAGAAGAAUUAACUACCAAAGAUUUAAAAAUAGUCAACAACCUUAUUAGUCAGUAUAUAGUCAAUAUAGUCAGGAUAAAGUUCUACAAAGACAAAUUAGAGUGAAAAAAAAACUAUAAUAGUUACAUAAAAGAGUACAGUGAAUUCAUAGAAAUAAUAUAAACAGUACGGAAUCAUGAAAAUCUAAAUAAAUGUUUGUUAAACAUUUUAACAAACUGUUGUGGUCUUUAAUCCUGAAACUCUGGAAUUCUGGAUUGGUGGAAUUUGAAUCUAUGGAAUUCUGAAACUAUGGAAUUCUGAAACUAUGGGCUUCUGAAACUAUGGACUUCUGAAACUAUGGAAUUCUGAAACUAUGGAAUUCUGAAACCAUGGAAUUCUUAAACUAUGGACUUCUGAAAAUAUGGAAUUUUGAAACUAUGGAGUUCUGAAACUAUGGCCGGAAUCCUGGAAACAUGGAUUUCUGAAACAACGAAAUAUUGAAACUGGAAUCCUGAAACUAUGGAAUCCUUGAACUAUGGAAUUCUGAAACUUUGGAAUUCUGAAACCAUGGAAUUCUGAAACUAUGAAACUCUGAGUAAUCAAAAAUAGAAAGAAUCAAACACCGAAAAUACAAAAAUUAAGGUUAGUUAUCAGCACUGUUCAGAAUCAUUUCAAUACCCUUAUCCACCAGCCUUCCUACCCCCCGCACCUCCCCCCAGUCUGCCAGAAACAGUAUUAAAGUUGAACUAUGCAAAAAUAAACCUGAUAACUUUCAUAAAGUGAUUUAAGAAAGAUAAUUAGAAAAAGAAUAUGAAACAUUGUAGCGUGGUGGUCGGCGUUUGUAUCAAUUCAAUAACAUUUUUUAAAUUAUAAUUUUACACGCAAAACAAAGCAAAAUCAAAAUAUAAAGUCAAAUCAUUGUAUUGAUAUAUACGACAACAAGACUGUAGAAAAUUCAUUGAUCUGUGAUUUGAGCUCUCAUGCAAGUUGACAUUAGACUUCAGAAUUUUACAAAGCUAUAAAAUAAUAGUUGAUUAAUCCUUAUUUAUAAACACAAGGUAUGUUUACUCUGCGCUCAUAGUAGACAUUGUAAACUGUACUUUAUUUACUCACAUCAAACUUAUCUGAUGGUGUAAACCUUUGAUUUUUCAAAUUUUAACUAUAUGAUCAAACAGAGUUUAUAGUUUGUAAAUCAAAGAUUGCCAACAUUAGGAUGGUAUAAGGAUUAGAAAAUUAGAGAAUGAGGACUGAUGAGCUUGUCGUUCAGCAAGAAGUCAGAACUCUUGUGUUAGAUGCCCUCAUUGGAUAUCGAGAUCAUGCGUUCAAAAUUAACCAUACUCCAGAAAAAAAUUCUGACCUCAACUUUAGAUUUAGAAACUUUAUAUUUUUAAUUUCAUUUAGAAAUUUUCAUUAUUUAGAAUAUAUCCUGGCUUUAUCAAACUAUGUAAUUUCUGUAAAAAAAGAUUAAACUUUAAAAAAUAAUAAUAAAAAGAGUUUGAUCAAAAUUUAAAAGUAAUUCAAG
This 2620-nucleotide long non-coding RNA is filed under the name Eurytemora carolleeae. RNAcentral's name for it is "uncharacterized LOC111705900". The record is from RNAcentral. Lineage: Eukaryota; Metazoa; Arthropoda; Copepoda; Calanoida; Temoridae.